RNAcentral lists this ribosomal RNA (492 nucleotides) under uncultured bacterium. Its description in RNAcentral is "partial 16S ribosomal RNA". It matches the Rfam family "Bacterial small subunit ribosomal RNA", at positions 29 to 507 of the family's 1533-position model. The record is from RNAcentral.
AGUGAACGCUGGCGGUAGGCCUAACACAUGCAAGUCGAGCGGCAGCACAGUAAGAGCUUGCUCUUACGGGUGGCGAGUGGCGGACGGGUGAGGAAUACAUCGGAAUCUACUUUUUCGUGGGGGAUAACGUAGGGAAACUUACGCUAAUACCGCAUACGACCUACGGGUGAAAGCAGGAGAUCUUCGGACCUUGCGCGAUUGAAUGAGCCGAUGUCGGAUUAGCUAGUUGGCGGGGUAAAGGCCCACCAAGGCGACGAUCCGUAGCUGGUCUGAGAGGAUGAUCAGCCACACUGGAACUGAGACACGGUCCAGACUCCUACGGGAGGCAGCAGUGGGGAAUAUUGGACAAUGGGCGAAAGCCUGAUCCAGCCAUACCGCGUGAGUGAAGAAGGCCUUCGGGUUGUAAAGCUCUUUUGUUGGGAAAGAAAAGAAGCAGGUUAAUACCCCGAUGUUCUGACGGUACCCAAAGAAUAAGCACCGGCUAACUUCGUG